Molecule: long non-coding RNA, 773 nt
Organism: Oryza sativa Japonica Group (Japanese rice)
Lineage: Eukaryota; Viridiplantae; Streptophyta; Magnoliopsida; Poales; Poaceae
Source: RefSeq, a predicted model, not a curated record
GAGGUGUGUAAUGUGCAAGCCCAAAAUAGUUACUUUCUUCAUUUUAUAUUAUAAGACUUUCUAGUAUUUCUAGAUUCAUUAACAUAUACUCCCUCCGUUUCGUUUUGUUUGUCGCUGUAGCUCAUUUCAAAAAGAGUCAAAAUGUUUGACGUCGUAGUACACCGGCCGAUACCGUUUCCAUCUUUACCCCUCAGUCGGCGGCGCGGAGAAGCAGGAGGAGCUCCUCCGCCGGCGGUCCUCCUGCCCCUGCCACGGCGAGGCCCUCCACGCAUGGCGCUCAAGUCCGGCGCCGCCUCCCACGCGCAUAGUCCCCUUCCGCCGACGAAGCGCCGCCGCGGCACCAUGGCCGGAGGAGGAGCCACGCUGGCGGCGGCAGCGUGGGAGAUCGCCGUCGUCUUCCGUCCUCCGGCCGCUCCUCGCCUUCGCCUUCGUCCUCUCCAUCAUCGCCCUCAGCUGAUACAUGGCGUGGAGGACGGUGCUGGUGCACGUCUCGUUGGUGCAGGAGAUCGCCGGGCUUCGAAAAGCUCCAUUGCCACAAGUCUCCUCCUUUCUUUUUUCUUUCUUCAGCUGGAUGUCCAGAAUUUACCUGAUUAUUUCAUCCGGUUAAGAUAGCUGUGCACUUGAUUGCAGAUUAAGCUACUGAACGGCCUGCAGAUUGUCUGAUUUGGUUAGCCGUAUGUUGAUUGUUGAUGUUCGUUUUUUAGAGAAUGCACAUUGCAUUUGCUUGGCUAUUUGAUGUUCAUCGAAGGGGAAAUUUUUCUGUUUCUGGGAAA